RNAcentral lists this transfer RNA (73 nucleotides) under Rhodothalassium salexigens DSM 2132. It matches the Rfam family "tRNA". Rfam says of the family: Transfer RNA (tRNA) molecules are approximately 80 nucleotides in length. Lineage: Bacteria; Pseudomonadati; Pseudomonadota; Alphaproteobacteria; Rhodothalassiales; Rhodothalassiaceae. The record is from Rfam by way of RNAcentral.
GCCGCCUUAGCUCAGUCGGUAGAGCAAUGCAUUCGUAAUGCAUGGGUCGCGUGUUCGAGUCACGCAGGCGGCA